GGGGAUAUGGCUCAGUUGGUAGAGUGAUUGCCUCGUAUGCACAAGGCCUUGAGUUCAAUCCCACCAUCACCA
Molecule: transfer RNA, 72 nt
Filed under: Ictidomys tridecemlineatus (thirteen-lined ground squirrel)
Lineage: Eukaryota; Metazoa; Chordata; Mammalia; Rodentia; Sciuridae
Description: Spermophilus tridecemlineatus (thirteen-lined ground squirrel) tRNA
Rfam family: tRNA
About the family: Transfer RNA (tRNA) molecules are approximately 80 nucleotides in length. Their secondary structure includes four short double-helical elements and three loops (D, anti-codon, and T loops).
Source: Rfam by way of RNAcentral